GAUCCUGGCUCAGGAUGAACGCUAGCUACAGGCUUAACACAUGCAAGUCGAGGGGCAGCAUGGUCUUAGCUUGCUAAGGCUGAUGGCGACCGGCGCACGGGUGAGUAACACGUAUCCAACCUGCCGUCUACUCUUGGCCAGCCUUCUGAAAGGAAGAUUAAUCCAGGAUGGCAUCAUGAGUUCACAUGUCCGCAUGAUUAAAGGUAUUUUCGAGGUAGACGAGU
RNAcentral lists this ribosomal RNA (224 nucleotides) under uncultured bacterium. Its description in RNAcentral is "partial 16S ribosomal RNA". It matches the Rfam family "Bacterial small subunit ribosomal RNA", at positions 15 to 227 of the family's 1533-position model. The record is from RNAcentral.